Molecule: non-coding RNA, 28 nt
Filed under: Bombyx mori (domestic silkworm)
Lineage: Eukaryota; Metazoa; Arthropoda; Insecta; Lepidoptera; Bombycidae
Source: RNAcentral
UUCGAUAGCCAGCCACGAGCAAACAGGU